CAGGACGAACGCUGGCGGCGUGCCUAAUACAUGCAAGUCGAGCGGACCGACGGGAGCUUGCUCCCUUAGGUCAGCGGCGGACGGGUGAGUAACACGUGGGUAACCUGCCUGUAAGACUGGGAUAACUCCGGGAAACCGGGGCUAAUACCGGAUGCUUGAUUGAACCGCAUGGUUCAAUCAUAAAAGGUGGCUUUCAGCUACCACUUGCAGAUGGACCCGCGGCGCAUUAGCUAGUUGGUGAGGUAACGGCUCACCAAGGCGACGAUGCGUAGCCGACCUGAGAGGGUGAUCGGCCACACUGGGACUGAGACACGGCCCAGACUCCUACGGGAGGCAGCAGUAGGGAAUCUUCCGCAAUGGACGAAAGUCUGACGGAGCAACGCCGCGUGAGUGAUGAAGGUUUUCGGAUCGUAAAACUCUGUUGUUAGGGAAGAACAAGUACCGUUCGAAUAGGGCGGUACCUUGACGGUACCUAACCAGAAAGCCACGGCUAACUACGUGCCAGCAGCCGCGGUAAUACGUAGGUGGCAAGCGUUGUCCGGAAUUAUUGGGCGUAAAGCGCGCGCAGGCGGUUUCUUAAGUCUGAUGUGAAAGCCCCCGGCUCAACCGGGGAGGGUCAUUGGAAACUGGGGAACUUGAGUGCAGAAGAGGAGAGUGGAAUUCCACGUGUAGCGGUGAAAUGCGUAGAGAUGUGGAGGAACACCAGUGGCGAAGGCGACUCUCUGGUCUGUAACUGACGCUGAGGCGCGAAAGCGUGGGGAGCGAACAGGAUUAGAUACCCUGGUAGUCCACGCCGUAAACGAUGAGUGCUAAGUGUUAGAGGGUUUCCGCCCUUUAGUGCUGCAGCAAACGCAUUAAGCACUCCGCCUGGAGACGCCGUCG
Molecule: ribosomal RNA, 882 nt
Filed under: Bacillus sp. M_Sw_HS_10/11_11_1(1)
Lineage: Bacteria; Bacillati; Bacillota; Bacilli; Caryophanales; Bacillaceae
Description: bacterial SSU rRNA
Rfam family: Bacterial small subunit ribosomal RNA
Source: RNAcentral